GCCCAUGUGGUGCAACUGGCAGACACGCUAUCCUCAGCAGAUAGAUCAAUUGGAAGUUCGAAUCUUCUCAUGGGCA
RNAcentral lists this transfer RNA (76 nucleotides) under Clostridium sp. AF34-10BH. RNAcentral describes it as "tRNA-Leu". The record is from RNAcentral. Lineage: Bacteria; Bacillati; Bacillota; Clostridia; Eubacteriales; Clostridiaceae.